This 333-nucleotide ribosomal RNA is filed under the name uncultured bacterium. RNAcentral describes it as "bacterial SSU rRNA". It matches the Rfam family "Bacterial small subunit ribosomal RNA", at positions 28 to 355 of the family's 1533-position model. The record is from RNAcentral.
GAUGAACGCUAGCGGGAGGCUUAACACAUGCAAGUCGAGCGGGAUUCACCUUCGGGUGAUGAGAGCGGCGCACGGGUGCGUAACGCGUAUGCAACCUACCUUAUACAAAGGGAUAGCCCAUGGAAACGUGGAUUAAUAUCUUAUGGGACUAAUUAAUCGCAUGGUUGAUUAGUUAAAAUUUCGGUGGUAUAAGAUGGGCAUGCGUCUGAUUAGCUAGUUGGUGAGGUAACGGCUCACCAAGGCGACGAUCAGUAGGGGUUCUGAGAGGAUUUACCCCCCACACUGGUACGUAGAGGACACGGACCGACGACGUCCUACGGGAGGGCAGCGAGU